UUUGUAUUACGUGCGGAAAUUGUUACCAUUUUCGGAUCAAAAAUGGUAACAAUUUCCGCACGUAAUACAAA
Molecule: microRNA precursor, 71 nt
Filed under: Paramuricea clavata
Lineage: Eukaryota; Metazoa; Cnidaria; Anthozoa; Malacalcyonacea; Plexauridae
Source: RNAcentral